GAUCCCUGUUUUAAUUAGCUAAACCUCAUGGAUAUUUACGCCCUGUUUAGUUGCCAUUGAUAAAUAAUACUACUGGUAAUGAAAUUGUGCAAAGUUUAGCUAGGAAUUUUUUAUGCCAAAGUCUAUGCUAACGCAACUCUAUCCCUAAUUCCCUAUGUCUGAUUUUCUGUAUAGAUUUUCUUGUUCAAGUCUAUUCCUCCUCAAACAACCACAUGUUUGAAAUAGAGUUGCAUUACUAUGGACAUUGGGAUGGAAAUUUCCGUGCAAAACUACACACAAAUCCUUACCCUUACCACCUUUUGGUACUACAUACCAUAUGGCUGGGGUAAACAAAACCUUUAGAUGAUGGGAAAAUUUGCAAACCUGAUGUGUGUUUCUCUCCUUCAGUUUUGGAGCACAGUGUACGAAUUCAGGGUACAUUCGAUGAAGGUCCUCUCCUGUCAAAAUCAACAGCUACAGGGAAGAAGAAAAUGAUAUUUCUGACCAACAAUAGCAGAAGAAUGCAGAAAUAUUCAAACAAGAAAAGCCGCCAAUAUACCUGUAAUUUGACCGCUUUUCGACGAAACAACGAAGGAAUGCAAGAAGUAGCUCCAGCCAUUAAAAAGUGAAAUAAGACUGUGAGAGAUAAACUGGCAUGAUCUUCACUUGAAGUGCUGUUUUUGGGGUCCUCUCCGGCCUAUACACAGUCCAUAUUGCUUUGGAUGUUGAGAAAUGUAAUGCGGAAAUUGAAGCUGCAAGGUAUACAAACUUUGGUGAAUCCCUUGAACGAUGAAAGGAACAAAGACUUAGGAAGGGACAUUGAAGAUGAUAAGCCCAUGCUUUUCAAUAUAUAAGUGACUUCUGUUCAUAUAAAAUCAGGAAGUUACGGGAGAAAAAUAGGUAGAACAAAUAAAGACCCGGGAUAACCUAAGCUCGUGAGUCGUGAUACCAUGUCUGAUUGUGUAAUGAUAUUUUAGUACUUGACUCAUGAUAUGCAGAUUGCCUAUACCUUAUGCUACAUAAUGGUAAAAUUACUAGGGUCACAGCUAUAAAUCCAAUAAUCAACUUCAGACUUGUAAAUCGAAAAUCUGUGUGACCUGUUAUCCCAUUUGCUAGGAUUUCCAUCUUAGCUGCAACAGUUACAAAACAUUGCUUCUACGAUCCUUGAAGCUAGAAGCUUAGUGCUCCGCCUCUUAGAGAAAAUCAACACUUCCCUUUUGUUUAUUUUGUCCUCUUCACAAUGAAUAAUGAUCACCAAUCUGGUUAGAAAUGCAGGAUCACCAAUUUGCAGAAAGUUAUGGAAUGAAAUUUUACCUGAAGCUGGUACAUAAUGACAGAAAGAAGAGUCAACAGUGACUUCAUAGUCCCUCAUUAUACAAGUCUUAUGUCAAAUUGGUUAUUGAAAAAAGUGAAGAUGAAGGGGUUUAGCUUCUGAAGUCGAGCAUAAUCUCGCCUCAAGAGAGUAACAAAUCUAGCACCAUAGACUAGAUUACAGGACUAUGGACUGGGAAGGAAUCUAGGAUGGGAUAGUGAACUCUACUUUUGUCAUUUCCUUUAUCAAGUAAUAACUACUUCAAGGUCUUGAAUUAUAUACCAGACACACACAGACUCACACAUACAGAGACAAUAGGUUCUCCAUUUGUGAAACAUAUAUAGGAUGUGCAAUUUUUAUAAAAUGAAUGGUAUGAAUUUUUAUCUGAGAUGCUCAUUUUGUCCUGGUUCUUCACUAACCCCUUUCUGGAAAUUGUCAAAGAAUUAAUCAGACAUCCGAUUUCCCUUACACGGAAGAAUUAUGCUUCGUAUUAAUAUAUGUCGUUUCUUGGAUUUCAGUCCCCUUUUCUGAUCAGAAUGAAUCUGCAGCACCAGUGACAGAAAAAUAGUAUUAGAGGGAAACUCCAUAAAAGCCAUAAAGGCCCUUAAUCUCAAGCUAUCAGCAAAGAAAUGAUGGCAUAAUAGUUAUUAAGACAUUCAACAGAAAAUGUAGAAUCUCAAUCCUGAAUUCCUGAUGUAAAACCUGCUGGAGAUUGUCAUGUGUAGUGUCUUGAAUCUCAUGAAUCACAACUCAAUGAUUAAAUAGACUGGAAACCUAAAUAUCAUGUUCAAGUUCAUUGAUCCUUGACUCUUUUUUUUUACUCGACAUGUUUCUUGGAGAAUCAUUGUCACUAAUCCAGUGCUUCUUACUGCAAUUAAUGGCGGUUUUUGA
Molecule: long non-coding RNA, 2182 nt
Organism: Spinacia oleracea (spinach)
Lineage: Eukaryota; Viridiplantae; Streptophyta; Magnoliopsida; Caryophyllales; Amaranthaceae
Exons: 3
Source: RefSeq, a predicted model, not a curated record